Molecule: transfer RNA, 72 nt
Filed under: Elusimicrobiota bacterium
Lineage: Bacteria; Pseudomonadati; Elusimicrobiota
Description: tRNA-Phe
Rfam family: tRNA
About the family: Transfer RNA (tRNA) molecules are approximately 80 nucleotides in length. Their secondary structure includes four short double-helical elements and three loops (D, anti-codon, and T loops). Further hydrogen bonds mediate the characteristic L-shaped molecular structure. tRNAs have two regions of fundamental functional importance: the anti-codon, which is responsible for specific mRNA codon recognition, and the 3' end, to which the tRNAs corresponding amino acid is attached (by aminoacyl-tRNA synthetases). tRNAs cope with the degeneracy of the genetic code in two manners: having more than one tRNA (with a specific anti-codon) for a particular amino acid; and 'wobble' base-pairing, i.e. permitting non-standard base-pairing at the 3rd anti-codon position.
Source: RNAcentral
GCCGCGGAAGCUGAAAAGGCAUAGCGUCCGGUUGAAAACCGGGAGGUCUCCGUUCGAUUCGGAGCCGCGGCA